Long non-coding RNA from Zingiber officinale, 1399 nucleotides. RefSeq lists it as uncharacterized. The record is from RefSeq and is a predicted model, not a curated record. Lineage: Eukaryota; Viridiplantae; Streptophyta; Magnoliopsida; Zingiberales; Zingiberaceae. The transcript is spliced from 3 exons.
AGAUCAUGAUAGUCCAGAAUGAACAGCCGUUUGUUCUCCAGCGCCUGAAGAAAUCAAGGUAUAUUCAUCAUUUUUCCCUCUUAAUUUUUUUUUCCCUACUAAAUCAUUUCCAUAUGAAUGACAAAGCCAGUCUAAAUAUGUUCCAAGUAGAAUCAAGUUUCUGCCAAUAUUGAGGAAAUUUGUGAUCUUUCACAAUAAAUAGGGGUGCAUCAUAUUUUUCUCAAGUUCUCUAUUUUUCUUCCCCAAGUCAAUUUACCCUGUGAAAGGAGGAUUUAGUUAAUUAUUGAGGUGUCCUCAGGUGUCUGAAAUUCUAUCCGGUGAUCCUCUCAGGUUUGUUUGUGAAAUUGUGUUCCUGGUGAGUUUGAUAUCAAUUUAUAUCCCUUUUGUCCGUGUUCUAGUAUAUCACAUUCUCUUAUUAUUGUAGAUUGAUUUGCUAGAUCAUGUUAGGUCAGAUUGAUUUGCUUUUGAACAAUGAACACACGUUACCUCUUGCAUAGUCAUGACACCUUUGAUCUCUUUCUCAAGUAUUUCUUCUGUGAUUGCCGAGUCUGCUGGGCCAUAGACCUUCGGAUCCAGUUUGCUCACUAUAGGGAAUGUCUGCACAUUCAUCAAACUAAAGUUAUCAGAAAAAUGCAUCGUUCAUUGUUUAAGAGAGAUUCUAGUUGUGAUUACCUCCAGCAGCUCAAUGGCGUAGGGAUUUAUUCCAGCCAAGCAUUGGCGAGCAAAUUCUUCAUCUCUGAGCCAUGAGAACUUGUCCCCUGCAAUCAAUUUGACAUUUUACUCCACAGGACUUCUUGUUUUCCGUCAGUGACAGUCCUCACCAAGCGAGGAAGCACACCCCGCAAUAAGCCCGCCCCUUCGAGCUUUGGCAGAUUCAACCCUUCACUGAAGAGUGAAUCAAUGGCGGUGAAGUAUGGGAAUCCUAGAUGGACGUCAAUAAUUGCACUCUGGAUUGAGGGAACAACUGCACGAAGCACUGACCGAAAUGUCUUCACUGAGAAAUUAGCCGACUUCACCUCGGAAAAGGCUUCAUCUCUAGGGUUGUCGGACUUUGAGGCCACCCAUGAGUUGCAUGUAAAAGUGGGCAAAGUUGCAUUAGGAUUGCUGGUCACAAGCUUGAUGUCCUUGACGAACAGCUCCUUGCUUUGAUCAUUCGUUACAAACACACCUCCAAUGGUGCCAAAAUCCUCGCCGACUUCAAAGGUGGCUUCAUACGUGAUCAAGUUGCCCUCUUUGCUCGCUCUGCGAGCAUAGGCUGGAAGAGUCUCCUUCUCCAAUCCCGUUUCUUUCUCAAUAAUAUUAUGGGAACAUGCACAAGAACAAAUAUUUCAUCACAUUCCUAUGAAGUUUAAUUUCAAUGCCUGUCGUUCAAGCAAUCGAUGGAGGCAUUUGCAAUUAA